Molecule: long non-coding RNA, 691 nt
Organism: Saccostrea cuccullata (small rock oyster)
Lineage: Eukaryota; Metazoa; Mollusca; Bivalvia; Ostreida; Ostreidae
Exons: 2
Source: RefSeq, a predicted model, not a curated record
UUAGCUUCUGUCAGAUAGAGAAACCCAGAAAUUUUUUGAAGAAAUUGGAGAAGUAAAAACAUUACAACAACUUCAAAAAGAAACCCAGAAGCAUGGUCAGCUAGAUAAAUGGGCUAACUUUCGCGGGCCUCGGCCCGAUGAUGAUAACUCCAUGAAAACCUUCAUGAAGAUCAAAGAGGAGGGUGACAAAGAAGCCGCGGCCAAAAACAAACGAUUGAGGAGCAGUGAAGAUUACAAAAAACAACAGGAAGUUAAAAGAAAGUUUUACGAAACGAUUCAACAUCAGCAGGAUAUUGCAAUGAAAAAUAAGUGAAGUUCUUUAAGUAUGAUUGUUAUAUAGUAUUUUAAAAGUGAAGGCUUGUGUGGAACAAAGCUUCAGUUACUUAAGCUGUGUUUCCAUAAUUGCAUUUUUGAAUGUGUGAAAGAUAAUUGAAAACAUUAGAUGUAUACAUGUAUUAUUUGAUUAAAGUGAAAAUAUGGGGUGCACUACAAUCUUUCAUUCAUGUGAAAUACCUUUACAGUAUAAUAUUGUGUAAUGAUGUACCGUCAUUGAGCAAUAUUUUCUUUCAGCUUUCAAUUGUUGACUUUUUUUAGCACUGAAGUGUAUAUCGUAUUUCCAAUGGAAAAGAUAUUUUUUGUAGCACUUGUUUGUUUUAAUGCAAUAUGCAAUAAAAGAUUUCAAAAUACUUAA